CCUCCAAAGCACAGAUCCAGUUGCCACCUUCAUGCUCCUCCCUCACUGGAGAGGCUUCAGCUGCAACGCGUAUAUGAGCUGGCUCAGACAAUAUCCAGACGUUGCAAAAGUACUUGCCAAAUUUCCUGCAAGAAGAAUCCAAUUUCAGGCACCACAACACUGGUUUGAUACCAUACCCAAUCCUACCCCACCAUCCUAUCCUAUGCAGCUUAUUGUUGUGUGGAACCAUAAUGCCAGAGUUAUGCUAGACAGCG
This 254-nucleotide long non-coding RNA is filed under the name Dunaliella salina. Its description in RNAcentral is "long non-coding RNA (DSAL_LNC000507)". The record is from RNAcentral. Lineage: Eukaryota; Viridiplantae; Chlorophyta; Chlorophyceae; Chlamydomonadales; Dunaliellaceae.